AGAGGCUGGAAUAACCUAAUAAGACGAGAAGACCCUAUGGAGCUUUAAUCUAACUUAUUAGCUUAUAUCACAACUAACCUACUGGUUUAAAAACAUAAAAGCAUAAUAAGAAGAUUUCGGUUGGGGUGACCUCGGAGCAUAAAAAAUCCUCCGAAUGAUUAUAAGCUAAGGCACACAAGCCAAAGCACCUAUAAUCUUAUUGACCCAAACAUAUUUGAUCAACGGACCAAGUUACCCUAGGGAUAACAGCGCAAUCCUAUUAGAGAGUCCAUAUCGACAAUUAGGGUUUACGACCUCGAUGUUGGAUC
RNAcentral lists this ribosomal RNA (308 nucleotides) under Cricetulus griseus (Chinese hamster). RNAcentral's name for it is "16S rRNA". It matches the Rfam family "Bacterial large subunit ribosomal RNA", at positions 2057 to 2538 of the family's 2925-position model. The record is from RNAcentral. Lineage: Eukaryota; Metazoa; Chordata; Mammalia; Rodentia; Cricetidae.